This 253-nucleotide ribosomal RNA is filed under the name uncultured bacterium. Its description in RNAcentral is "partial 16S ribosomal RNA". It matches the Rfam family "Bacterial small subunit ribosomal RNA", at positions 524 to 776 of the family's 1533-position model. The record is from RNAcentral.
UACGAAGGGGGCUAGCGUUGCUCGGAAUCACUGGGCGUAAAGGGCGCGUAGGCGGACUUUUAAGUCGGGGGUGAAAGCCCAGGGCUCAACCCUGGAAUUGCCUUCGAUACUGGGAGUCUUGAGUUCGGAAGAGGUUGGUGGAACUGCGAGUGUAGAGGUGAAAUUCGUAGAUAUUCGCAAGAACACCAGUGGCGAAGGCGGCCAACUGGUCCGAAACUGACGCUGAGGCACGAAAGCGUGGGGAGCAAACAGG